This 908-nucleotide ribosomal RNA is filed under the name uncultured bacterium. RNAcentral describes it as "bacterial SSU rRNA". It matches the Rfam family "Bacterial small subunit ribosomal RNA", at positions 33 to 925 of the family's 1533-position model. The record is from RNAcentral.
ACGCUGGCGGCGUGCCUAAUACAUGCAAGUAGAACGCUGAAGGAGGAGCUUGCUUCUCUGGAUGAGUUGCGAACGGGUGAGUAACGCGUAGGUAACCUGCCUGGUAGCGGGGGAUAACUAUUGGAAACGAUAGCUAAUACCGCAUAAGAGUAGAUGUUGCAUGACAUUCGCUUAAAAGGUGCAAUUGCAUCACUACCAGAUGGACCUGCGUUGUAUUAGCUAGUUGGUGGGGUAACGGCUCACCAAGGCGACGAUACAUAGCCGACCUGAGAGGGUGAUCGGCCACACUGGGACUGAGACACGGCCCAGACUCCUACGGGAGGCAGCAGUAGGGAAUCUUCGGCAAUGGACGGAAGUCUGACCGAGCAACGCCGCGUGAGUGAAGAAGGUUUUCGGAUCGUAAAGCUCUGUUGUAAGAGAAGAACGAGUGUGAGAGUGGAAAGUUCACACUGUGACGGUAUCUUACCAGAAAGGGACGGCUAACUACGUGCCAGCAGCCGCGGUAAUACGUAGGUCCCGAGCGUUGUCCGGAUUUAUUGGGCGUAAAGCGAGCGCAGGCGGUUAGAUAAGUCUGAAGUUAAAGGCUGUGGCUUAACCAUAGUACGCUUUGGAAACUGUUUAACUUGAGUGCAAGAGGGGAGAGUGGAAUUCCAUGUGUAGUGGUGAAAUGCGUAGAUAUAUGGAGGAACACCGGUGGCGAAAGCGGCUCUCUGGCUUGUAACUGACGCUGAGGCUCGAAAGCGUGGGGAGCAAACAGGAUUAGUUACCCUGGUAGUCCACGCCGUAAACGAUGAGUGCUAGGUGUUAGACCCUUUCCGGGGUUUAGUGCCGUAGCUAACGCAUUAAGCACUCCGCCUGGGGAGUACGACCGCAAGGUUGAAACUCAAAGGAAUUGACGGGGGCCCCGC